GUAGGUGGCAAGCGUUGUCCGGAAUUAUUGGGCGUAAAGCGCGCGCAGGUGGGUUCUUUAAGUCUGAUGUGAAGGCCCCCGGGCUCAACCGGGGAGGGUCAUUGGAAACUGGGGAACUUGAGUGCAGGAGAGGAAAGUGGAAUUCCACGUGUAGCGGUGAAAUGCGUAGAUAUGUGGAGGAACACCAGUGGCGAAGGCGACUUUCUGGCCUGUAACUGACACUGAGGCGCGAAAGCGUGGGGAGCAAACAGGAUUAGAUACCCUGGUAGUCCACGCCGUAAACGAUGAGUGCUAAGUGUUGGGGGGUUUCCGCCCCUCAGUGCUGCAGCUAACGCAUUAAGCACUCCGCCUGGGGAGUACGGUCGCAAGACUG
This 373-nucleotide ribosomal RNA is filed under the name uncultured organism. Its description in RNAcentral is "partial 16S ribosomal RNA". It matches the Rfam family "Bacterial small subunit ribosomal RNA", at positions 527 to 896 of the family's 1533-position model. The record is from RNAcentral.